RNAcentral lists this ribosomal RNA (488 nucleotides) under uncultured Propionibacterium sp. RNAcentral describes it as "bacterial SSU rRNA". It matches the Rfam family "Bacterial small subunit ribosomal RNA", at positions 1 to 507 of the family's 1533-position model. The record is from RNAcentral. Lineage: Bacteria; Bacillati; Actinomycetota; Actinomycetes; Propionibacteriales; Propionibacteriaceae.
AGGUUUCGAGUCCUGGCUCAGGACGAACGCUGGCGGCGUGCUUAACACAUGCAAGUCGACGGAAAGGCCCUGCUUUUGUGGGUGCUCGAGUGGCGAACGGGUGAGUAACACGUGAGUAACCUGCCCUUGACUUUGGGAUAACUUCAGGAAACUGGGGCUAAUACCGGAUAGGAGCUCCUGCUGCAGUGGUGGGGGUUGGAAAGUUUCGGCGGUUGGGGAUGGACUCGCGGCUUAUCAGCUUGUUGGUGGGGUAGUGGCUUACCAAGGCUUUGACGGGUAGCCGGCCUGAGAGGGUGACCGGCCACAUUGGGACUGAGAUACGGCCCUGACUCCUACGGGAGGCAGCAGUGGGGAAUAUUGCACAAUGGGCGGAAGCCUGAUGCAGCAACGCCGCGUGCGGGAUGACGGCCUUCGGGUUGUAAACCGCUUUCGCCUGUGACGAAGCGUGAGUGACGGUAAUGGGUAAAGAAGCACCGGCUAACUACGUG